AGAGUUUGAUCCUGGCUCAGAGCGAACGCUGGCGGCGUGCUUAACACAUGCAAGUCGAGUGCACGGUAGCAAUACUGGUGCACGGCGCACGGGUGCGUAACACGUGGGCAAUCUACCCUCGAGUGGGGAAUAACCCGCCGAAAGGCGGGCUAAUACCGCAUGACAUUCCUUGGACUUCGGUUCGAGGACUCAAAGCCGUA
RNAcentral lists this ribosomal RNA (200 nucleotides) under uncultured bacterium. Its description in RNAcentral is "partial 16S ribosomal RNA". It matches the Rfam family "Bacterial small subunit ribosomal RNA", at positions 8 to 211 of the family's 1533-position model. The record is from RNAcentral.